UACGGAGGGGGCUAGCGUUGUUCGGAAUCACUGGGCGUAAAGGGCGUGUAGGCGGUUUGUCUAGUCAGACGUGAAAGCCCCGGGCUUAACCUGGGAUGUGCGUUUGAUACUGGCAGACUCGAGAUCGGGAGAGGAAAGUAGAAUUUCCAGUGUAGAGGUGAAAUUCGUAGAUAUUGGAAGGAAUACCAGUGGCGAAGGCGGCUUUCUGGACCGAAUCUGACGCUGAGGCGCGAAAGCGUGGGGAGCAAACAGG
RNAcentral lists this ribosomal RNA (253 nucleotides) under uncultured bacterium. Its description in RNAcentral is "partial 16S ribosomal RNA". It matches the Rfam family "Bacterial small subunit ribosomal RNA", at positions 524 to 776 of the family's 1533-position model. The record is from RNAcentral.